Molecule: ribosomal RNA, 513 nt
Filed under: uncultured microorganism
Description: bacterial SSU rRNA
Rfam family: Bacterial small subunit ribosomal RNA
Source: RNAcentral
GAGUUUGAUCGUGGCUCAGGAUGAACGCUGGCGGCGUGCCUAACACAUGCAAGUCGAGCGAAGCACUUUGUUAGAACUUUUCGGAGGGACGAGGAAGUGACUGAGCGGCGGACGGGUGAGUAACGCGUGGCAACCUGCCUUACACAGGGGGAUAACAGUUAGAGAUGACUGCUAAUACCGCAUAAGACCACAUUGCCGCAUGGCAGGGUGGUAAAAACUCCGGUGGUGUAAGAUGGGCCCGCGUCUGAUUAGGUAGUUGGCAGGGUAGAGGCCUACCAAGCCUACGAUCAGUAGCCGGCCUGAGAGGGUGGACGGCCACAUUGGGACUGAGACACGGCCCAAACUCCUACGGGAGGCAGCAGUGGGGAAUAUUGCACAAUGGGGGAAACCCUGAUGCAGCGACGCCGCGUGAGUGAGGAAGUAUUUCGGUAUGUAAAGCUCUAUCAGCAGGGAAGAAAAUGACGGUACCUGACUAAGAAGCCCGGCUAACUACGUGCCAGCCGCCGCGGUAAC